UACGUAGGGGGCUAGCGUUGUCCGGAAUCAUUGGGCGUAAAGCGCGUGUAGGCGGCCCGGUAAGUCCGCUGUGAAAGUCGGGGGCUCAACCCUCGGAUGCCGGUGGAUACUGUCGGGCUCGAGUACGGAAGAGGCGAGUGGAAUUCCUGGUGUAGCGGUGAAAUGCGCAGAUAUCAGGAGGAACACCGGUGGCGAAGGCGGCGUCCUGGACCAACACUGACACUGAUGAGCGAAAGCCAGGGGAGCAAACGGG
RNAcentral lists this ribosomal RNA (253 nucleotides) under uncultured bacterium. RNAcentral's name for it is "partial 16S ribosomal RNA". It matches the Rfam family "Bacterial small subunit ribosomal RNA", at positions 524 to 776 of the family's 1533-position model. The record is from RNAcentral.